RNAcentral lists this ribosomal RNA (460 nucleotides) under uncultured bacterium. Its description in RNAcentral is "partial 16S ribosomal RNA". It matches the Rfam family "Bacterial small subunit ribosomal RNA", at positions 338 to 795 of the family's 1533-position model. The record is from RNAcentral.
CCUACGGGAGGCAGCAGUGAGGAAUAUUGGUCAAUGGCCGUAAGGCUGAACCAGCCAAGUCGCGUGAAGGAAGAAGGAUCUAUGGUUUGUAAACUUCUUUUAUAGGGGGAUAAAGGUAUCCACGUGUGGCUAUUUGCAUGUACCCUAUGAAUAAGCGUCGGCUAACUCCGUGCCAGCAGCCGCGGUAAUACGGAGGAUGCGAGCGUUAUCCGGAUUUAUUGGGGUUACAGGGUGCGUAGGUUGUUUUUUAAGUCAGCGGUGAAAGUUUGUGGCUCAACCAUAAAAUUGCCGUUGAAACUGGAAGACUUGAGUGUGUUUGAGGUAGGCGGAAUGCGUGGUGUAGCGGUGAAAUGCAUAGAGAUCACGCAGAACUCCGAUUGCGAAGGCAGCUUACUAAGCCAUAACUGACACUGAAGCACGAAAGCGUGGGGAUCAAACAGGAUUAGAUACCCCUGUAGUC